RNAcentral lists this ribosomal RNA (460 nucleotides) under uncultured bacterium. RNAcentral's name for it is "partial 16S ribosomal RNA". It matches the Rfam family "Bacterial small subunit ribosomal RNA", at positions 338 to 795 of the family's 1533-position model. The record is from RNAcentral.
CCUACGGGUGGCAGCAGUGAGGAAUAUUGGUCAAUGGACGAGAGUCUGAACCAGCCAAGUAGCGUGAAGGAUGACUGCCCUAUGGGUUGUAAACUUCUUUUAUAUGGGAAUAAAAUGUUCCACGUGUGGGAUUUUGUAUGUACCAUAUGAAUAAGGAUCGGCUAACUCCGUGCCAGCAGCCGCGGUAAUACGGAGGAUCCGAGCGUUAUCCGGAUUUAUUGGGUUUAAAGGGAGCGUAGGUGGAUUGUUAAGUCAGUUGUGAAAGUUUGCGGCUCAACCGUAAAAUUGCAGUUGAAACUGGCAGUCUUGAGUACAGUAGAGGUGGGCGGAAUUCGUGGUGUAGCGGUGAAAUGCUUAGAUAUGACGAAGAACCCCGAUUGCGAAGGCAGCUUGCUGCAGCGGAACUGACGCUGAUGCUCGAAAGCGCGGGUAUCGAACAGGAUUAGAUACCCGGGUAGUC